RNAcentral lists this ribosomal RNA (460 nucleotides) under uncultured bacterium. Its description in RNAcentral is "partial 16S ribosomal RNA". It matches the Rfam family "Bacterial small subunit ribosomal RNA", at positions 338 to 795 of the family's 1533-position model. The record is from RNAcentral.
CCUACGGGAGGCAGCAGUGAGGAAUAUUGGUCAAUGGACGAGAGUCUGAACCAGCCAAGUAGCGUGAAGGAUGACUGCCCUAUGGGUUGUAAACUUCUUUUAUAAAGGAAUAAAACGACGCACGUGUGCCUUUUUGCAUGUACUUGAUGAAUAAGGAUCGGCUAACUCCGUGCCAGCAGCCGCGGUAAUACGGAGGAUCCGAGCGUUAUCCGGAUUUAUUGGGUUUAAAGGGAGCGUAGAUGGGUUGUUAAGUCAGUUGUGAAAGUUUGCGGCUCAACCGUAAAAUUGCAAUUGAUACUGGCAGUCUUGAGUACAGUUGAGGUAGGCGGAAUGCGUGGUGUAGCGGUGAAAUGCUUAGAUAUCACGAAGAACCCCGAUUGCGAAGGCAGCUUACUAAACUGCGACUGACAUUGAUGCUCGAAGGUGUGGGUAUCGAACAGGAUUAGAUACCCGUGUAGUC